RNAcentral lists this small nuclear RNA (100 nucleotides) under Jaculus jaculus (lesser Egyptian jerboa). Lineage: Eukaryota; Metazoa; Chordata; Mammalia; Rodentia; Dipodidae. The record is from RNAcentral.
UUGCUUAAGCAGAAAAUAUACUAAAAUUGGAAUGAUACAGAGACUAGCACGGCCCCUGUGCAAGGAUAACAGGCAAAUUUGUGAAGUAUUUCAUUUGUUU